GGCGGUUCUUGGGUGAUGCACCCGGAAUCAGGCUCCCUCCUCUUUGGUUCUGGGGUGUCUCACCCAAGAACUGCC
Non-coding RNA from Myotis davidii, 75 nucleotides. The record is from Rfam. NCBI's taxonomy places the organism in Eukaryota, Metazoa, Chordata, Mammalia, Chiroptera, Vespertilionidae.